RNAcentral lists this long non-coding RNA (847 nucleotides) under Rattus norvegicus (Norway rat). RNAcentral describes it as "long non-coding RNA NONRATT004548". The record is from RNAcentral. Lineage: Eukaryota; Metazoa; Chordata; Mammalia; Rodentia; Muridae.
CUUUGACUGCGUCCUCUGCGCUGCCCAUGGUGCGGCAGGUGGCGGGCAGGCGGCACCAAGCGGCCCCCGAAGCCCCCGUGCGCCCUCACCGCCUCCGCACCUCCCGACUCAGCGCCCCACACGCGAGGCGGAGCCCCCGCCCGCUGCACUCCCCGCCUGCAGCCGCCGCAGCCACUGCCCGGUGCUCAGCUCCGCAGCCAUCUUCCGAGCCCCGCAGACGUCAGGCAGCAGGCCCGGCCCCUUCCCACAGCCGGCAGGGAGGGGGUGUGUGCGCUGCGACUGGGGGGGGGGGUCAGGGCGGGUGCGGACGCCUGGGGGCGUCGGGCCCGGGCGCGCGCCGCAGGGAUGGUUGUCAUGGCGACCGGCCCGCUCCCGCCCCGAGGGCGCGAACCCGCAUUGUGAGCGCUGGGAGUCAGCCUCUCGCCACUGCACAAGCGGGCAGACUUUGAAGAGGUACUUACUUCUGGCCUAACCUAAACCACAGUAACCGCUCCCUACUCCUGGCCCCUCGGAGAGGCGUUAAGGAGCCAAGGUCUCGGCUCUGGGUCACUGUGGUUCGAACAUGAUCCUGUCACUCCUCCGGAUCCUGUGGCCUGCCAGCAGUUCUUAGUCGCAACGCUUGCAGGAGAAAAGCAAGAACCCGACCACGAGCUACGAAGAGCAGGUGCCCGAGCACAAGAGGAAGCCUUCGCUCUCCUUCGGGUCUCCACGUCCGGUUUUUGUUCAUCUUGCAGAAUUGUUGGGAGAGAGGGGCACGAGUCGGAGUAAGAGACAGAACGGAGCCGGUGACACGAGUCCCUUCUAAGUGACUCGCGUUGGGAAUUAGAGUCAUAGAGGAAAGAAAAGG